Molecule: ribosomal RNA, 541 nt
Filed under: Pseudomonas sp.
Lineage: Bacteria; Pseudomonadati; Pseudomonadota; Gammaproteobacteria; Pseudomonadales; Pseudomonadaceae
Description: bacterial SSU rRNA
Rfam family: Bacterial small subunit ribosomal RNA
Source: RNAcentral
CGGGAGCUUGCUCCUUGAUUCAGCGGCGGACGGGUGAGUAAUGCCUAGGAAUCUGCCUGGUAGUGGGGGACAACGUUUCGAAAGGAACGCUAAUACCGCAUACGUCCUACGGGAGAAAGCAGGGGACCUUCGGGCCUUGCGCUAUCAGAUGAGCCUAGGUCGGAUUAGCUAGUUGGUGGGGUAAUGGCUCACCAAGGCGACGAUCCGUAACUGGUCUGAGAGGAUGAUCAGUCACACUGGAACUGAGACACGGUCCAGACUCCUACGGGAGGCAGCAGUGGGGAAUAUUGGACAAUGGGCGAAAGCCUGAUCCAGCCAUGCCGCGUGUGUGAAGAAGGUCUUCGGAUUGUAAAGCACUUUAAGUUGGGAGGAAGGGCAGUAAGCUAAUACCUUGCUGUUUUGACGUUACCGACAGAAUAAGCACCGGCUAACUCUGUGCCAGCAGCCGCGGUAAUACAGAGGGUGCAAGCGUUAAUCGGAAUUACUGGGCGUAAAGCGCGCGUAGGUGGUUCGUUAAGUUGGAUGUGAAAGCCCCGGGCUC